CUUUCUUUCGGGUGGCACCGGGCAGCAGGCGGCAGGACACGAAAGGGAGCUUCCAGACCUGCUUCAGCAAGUGGAGAAAAUAAUGGAUGCCAGCCACUCGGGCUCCUCAUGGGCACUCAGACAGCGGUGCUCGCGUGAAUGAAUGAACGAAUGAAUGAAUGGGAUAAUAAAUGGAAGUGUCAUGGAAGAUUUACUGAGUGACACGCUUAGACCUCUGCCUUGGAAGACAAAUCUGGCGGGAUGUGAGCGGUGGCUGAAGAGGGGGACGCCGGGAUCAGAAGCAGGGUGCUCAGGUGCAAGGGGGCAGUGAGGGUGGCCCGUAGGGGCCCCGUCCAAGGGACACUUGGAAGUUAAGCACCAGAACGCGGUGACUGGCUAGUGAGAGGAGGGCAGGAUAUGGCCCAUGACUCUGAGCUCAGGUCACACUCCCACCGCAGGGAGAGAACCUGGGGUCGCUCUGGAGACUUUGAAGCAGGGGCUGGGGAAGGAGGACAGACGGCAAGAAGGGAGUAAAAUACCCGGAAAUAAUGAGAUCGAAGGGGAGGAGAGGCCCAGGAGGCUGCGGCUCCCCUGAAACGAAGUUUGCCCACCGCAGAAAGGGGUGCCCAGCCAAGGGGACCACGUGCAGGCCAGGAGGACACCAGACUCAGCUCUCUGCAUUUGAUAAUUACAAGACAAUGGUUUGGGGACUUGGGGGUCCCAUGUUCAAACAUGAUUCCUCCUGGCAGCUUCUCCUGCUAACUUGCCCCUGAUUUCCCAUGCUGAGAACUGUUACUUCGAAAUGAUCACUCAGCCCCCUGACAACACUGGGGACGUUCUUUUAUUUCACAGACUCUUUUAAGGAUCUAUUUUGGUUGUGCCAAAAGUAAGAGAGAGAGAAAAGGAGAAAUACAUGGUCCUCUGGGCAUAUUUUUAUGCCUUAAUGAAACCAAUAUUAUGGGAACAACUACAAAUGUGCAGGUAAUUGGUCUAACCUCUUCUGAAUCAUGCUGGAGGAGAAGAAUGCCAGAGGAAUAAAAACGAUUUUGUUUAAACAAGAUACGUGGACUAGAUCUAGCUUUCUCAAGAGUUGCUCCUCCGCUCACUGAGGUUGUACUGUGCAAGAUGAGUUUCCGCUGUGAUGACAGGCAACCCAGAACAGCAGAUCCACUUUGUCAGGGAGAGGCAGCUGGGAUGGGGCAGCCCAGGCCCAGCCUGCAGAUGCACCUUCAGAGAGGACUCGCCCUCUAUGCACACUCACCCUCAUUCACACGCUUUGUGUCUAAAGAGGGAGCUAGAGCUAUAGCCACGCUAAUUCCAGGCAGGAAGGCGGAAAGCAGAAGGAAAGACCAAAGGCCUUUGCUUAGCCGUGUGCUCCCCCUUAAGUAACUUCCCAGAAACCCUCUCGCUACUGUGUGGUCUGCGCUCUGUUGCACUGGCCAGCUCUUAGUCAUAUGGAUGUCUGUAGUCAGUCAAGAGAGGUUGGGAAACCUGGUUCGUUCUCAAGUGUGCAAACGCAGCUGUCCCAGGGUAUGUGUGGGGUUUCUCAUCUGAAGAAAAGCAGAGGAGGAGUGGGUAAUGACAUCCGGUCAUCUCUUCCUUCAAUGCCAGGGCACACUGUACCUACCUGACAAGUCCUAAAUGCAUGAAAGCAAACAGGUAGUGACGUCAUGCUCAGGACUACAGAUAUUUGACAGCUAAUGACGUUAAUAUCUUCUCUCCUCAUGUCCUCGUAGAUUUUAAUCCAAUACAAAUACUGAGAAAUGUUGACACUGUAAAUGUAUCUUCUUGCAUUCAGAAAACAAAAAAGCAUAAUAUUUAAUGAA
Molecule: long non-coding RNA, 1805 nt
Organism: Chinchilla lanigera (long-tailed chinchilla)
Lineage: Eukaryota; Metazoa; Chordata; Mammalia; Rodentia; Chinchillidae
Exons: 2
Source: RefSeq, a predicted model, not a curated record